CCUACGGGCGGCAGCAGUGAGGAAUAUUGGUCAAUGGACGAGAGUCUGAACCAGCCAAGUAGCGUGAAGGAUGACUGCCCUAUGGGUUGUAAACUUCUUUUAUAUGGGAAUAAAAUGUUCCACGUGUGGGAUUUUGUAUGUACCAUAUGAAUAAGGAUCGGCUAACUCCGUGCCAGCAGCCGCGGUAAUACGGAGGAUCCGAGCGUUAUCCGGAUUUAUUGGGUUUAAAGGGAGCGUAGGUGGAUUGUUAAGUCAGUUGUGAAAGUUUGCGGCUCAACCGUAAAAUUGCAUUUGAAACUGGCAGUCUUGAGUACAGUAGAGGUGGGCGGAAUUCGUGGUGUAGCGGUGAAAUGCUUAGAUAUCACGAAGAACUCCGAUUGCGAAGGCAGUUCACUGGACUGCAACUGACACUGAGGCUCGAAAGUGUGGGUAUCAAACAGGAUUAGAUACCCCAGUAGUC
RNAcentral lists this ribosomal RNA (460 nucleotides) under uncultured bacterium. RNAcentral's name for it is "partial 16S ribosomal RNA". It matches the Rfam family "Bacterial small subunit ribosomal RNA", at positions 338 to 795 of the family's 1533-position model. The record is from RNAcentral.